Molecule: small nuclear RNA, 78 nt
Filed under: Vicugna pacos (alpaca)
Lineage: Eukaryota; Metazoa; Chordata; Mammalia; Artiodactyla; Camelidae
Source: RNAcentral
AAGAUUGGAAUCAUACAGAGAUUAGCUUGGCCCCUGCAUAAGAAUGACAUGCAAAUUCAUGAAGUGUUCCAUUAAAAA